RNAcentral lists this small RNA (608 nucleotides) under Vigna angularis var. angularis. Its description in RNAcentral is "Non-protein coding transcript". Lineage: Eukaryota; Viridiplantae; Streptophyta; Magnoliopsida; Fabales; Fabaceae. The record is from RNAcentral.
GUCGGCUCCGUCAUUGGCGCCGGAAUAUUCGUCCUCACCGGAUUGGAGGCUAGGAACGCCGCCGGUCCCGCCGUCAUCUUGUCGUACGUCGUGUCCGGUUUCUCCGCCAUGCUGUCCGUUUUCUGUUACACCGAGUUUGCCGUCGAAAUCCCUGUUGCCGGUGGUUCAUUUGCCUACUUAAGAGUGGAGCUAGGAGACUUUGUAGCCUUCGUAGCUGCAGGAAACAUCCUUCUUGAGUACGUGAUAAGUUGUGCCGCAGUAGCAAGGUCAUGGACCUCAUACUUCGCCACCCUCUGCAACAAAAACCCUGAUGAUUUUCGCAUAGUCAUGCAUAACAUGAACCCUGAUUAUGGCCACCUUGACCCUAUAGCUGUCGUGAUCCUUGCACUCGUAUGCAUCCUUGCGGUUUGCAGCACCAAAGGCUCUUCAAUCUUCAACUACGUUGCCUCAGUCGUACACACAGUCAUCCUUGUCUUCAUAGUCAUAGCAGGUCUUAUCCAUGCCAAGCCUCAAAACUACGUACCCUUUACACCCUUCGGUGUUAGGGGCGUCUUCCAAGCUUCAGCUGUGCUCUACUUUGCUUAUGUCGGGUUCGAUGCUGUUGCAAC